This 84-nucleotide transfer RNA is filed under the name Rhizobacter sp. Root404. It matches the Rfam family "tRNA". From Rfam's summary of the family: Transfer RNA (tRNA) molecules are approximately 80 nucleotides in length. Their secondary structure includes four short double-helical elements and three loops (D, anti-codon, and T loops). Lineage: Bacteria; Pseudomonadati; Pseudomonadota; Betaproteobacteria; Burkholderiales; Sphaerotilaceae. The record is from Rfam by way of RNAcentral.
GCCCCGGUGGCUAAAUCGGUAGAAGCGCAGCGCUUAGGACGCUGUUUCCGCAAGGAAGUGUCGGUUCGAGUCCGACCCGGGGCA